CCCUUAGAUGUCCUGGGCUGCACGCGCGCUACACUGAUGUGUCCAGUAAGCACCUAACCUAUUCCGAGAGGAGCGGGUAACCUUAGCAAAGCACAUCGUGAUGGGGAUAGAUUAUUGCAAUUAUUAGUCUUGAACGAGGAAUUCCUAGUAAGCACAAGUCAUCAGCUUGUGUUGAUUACGUCCCUGCCCUUUGUACACACCGCCCGUCGCUCCUACCGAUUGAAUGUUCCGGUGAGCUCUUCGGACUGCGCGGUCUGCAGUUUCUGCGUUCCGUGCGGAAUGUUGUGCAAACCUUAACAUUUAGAGGAAGGAGAAGUCGUAACA
RNAcentral lists this ribosomal RNA (324 nucleotides) under uncultured eukaryote. RNAcentral describes it as "partial 18S ribosomal RNA". It matches the Rfam family "Eukaryotic small subunit ribosomal RNA", at positions 1470 to 1796 of the family's 1831-position model. The record is from RNAcentral.